UACGUAGGGUGCGAGCGUUAAUCGGAAUUACUGGGCGUAAAGCGUGCGCAGGCGGUUUUGGAAGGCAGAUGUGAAAGCCCCGGGCUUAACCUGGGAAUGGCAUUUGGGACUGCAAGGCUUGAGUGCGGCAGAGGAGACUGGAAUUCCUGGUGUAGCAGUGAAAUGCGUAGAUAUCAGGAGGAAUACCGAUGGCGAAGGCAGGUCUCUGGGCUGACACUGACGCUCAUGCACGAAAGCGUGGGGAGCAAACAGG
Molecule: ribosomal RNA, 253 nt
Filed under: uncultured bacterium
Lineage: Bacteria
Description: partial 16S ribosomal RNA
Rfam family: Bacterial small subunit ribosomal RNA
Source: RNAcentral